UACGAAGGGGGCUAGCGUUGCUCGGAAUCACUGGGCGUAAAGCGCACGUAGGCGGCUUGUUAAGUCAGGGGUGAAAUCCUGGAGCUCAACUCCAGAACUGCCUUUGAUACUGGCAAUCUUGAGUCCGGAAGAGGUGAGUGGAACUCCUAGUGUAGAGGUGGAAUUCGUAGAUAUUAGGAAGAACACCAGUGGCGAAGGCGGCUCACUGGUCCGGUACUGACGCUGAGGUGCGAAAGCGUGGGGAGCAAACAGG
This 253-nucleotide ribosomal RNA is filed under the name uncultured bacterium. RNAcentral's name for it is "partial 16S ribosomal RNA". It matches the Rfam family "Bacterial small subunit ribosomal RNA", at positions 524 to 776 of the family's 1533-position model. The record is from RNAcentral.